Long non-coding RNA from Lycium barbarum (goji berry), 3054 nucleotides. RefSeq lists it as uncharacterized. The record is from RefSeq and is a predicted model, not a curated record. The transcript has 7 exons. NCBI's taxonomy places the organism in Eukaryota, Viridiplantae, Streptophyta, Magnoliopsida, Solanales, Solanaceae.
CUUAGUUCAUUAAGCCUCAAUUUUCUCUCUUUCUCCGUCACUUUUAUGCAAUGAGUUUCCUCACAUUGUCUUUCCAGAUCAAAUUGUACGAUUUUCUCUCCCUCCAUCUCUACGUAAUUUCUUUCUUUUAUUAUGUUAAACCAUUUUCUUAUGUCCUCCAAUAAUAUUUCUCUAAGAAUUUUUUUAAAAAUUUCUUUGAGUUUUUAUCUUUCUAGUUUUUGUUAUCGAAUUCUAAGUACAAGUUUGUCAGAUUUAUAGUUUCUUAUGGGAAAACUUAUAGAAAUCUUCUGUUCAAUAAAGCAUGAGAGGCAUGUCCAUUGAACUUGUUGUUGUUAAUUGUAAUAAAGCACAAGAAAUGCUAUGAAAAUUAAUUAAGCCAAGUUUUUUAUACAACUUCAUCCUAGUUACUCCCUCCGUCCAAAGAUACUUGUCACUUUUCCCUUUCCGAGAGUUAAUUACCUCUGUGCCAAAAUAUUUGUCAGGUUUUGCUUUCUGAGAGUUAAUUAGACUAAUUCUCACAUUUGAGUGUUGAGUAAAAAAAAUUCAACGUCAUACCUUCGAUUCGGUUCUAUAAGUUUCUCACUUGUUCUUGUCCUUCAUUUGUUACUUUGUGAACAAAAUUACCCAGUACCUGUAUUGGUGGGAGAUAGCAGGUACCUUGUGCAACUGGUAUUUCCGUAUUAUUAUUUUUUCUUUCAAUCUUGUUUUCUGUAAAUGUGAGUUUCUAAAGCUUGAAGGGAUCCUUGACGUAACUGGUAAAGUUGGUGCCAUGCGACCAGGAGAUCAGGGGUUCGAACCGUGGAAACAUUCUCUUGCAGAAAUGGAAGAUAUUUCUUGGAGAUUCAUUGUUUCUCAAUGUCUACUAGGGGUGACAAGCAUGGUUGUCAAACUGCACCUCUAGAUAUACUUUGUAGCCUUCCUGAGAACGUAAUAGAUGAUAUCCUUUUGUAUUUGCCUUUACGAGAUGCUACGCGGACAAGCGUCUUAUCAAAAAAAUGGAGGUAUAAUUGGUGCAAACUUCCAGAACUGACGCUUGAUCUAAAAAAAAUUGAUAUUAAUGAAGGACUCAAUACCACCUAUGUUCAAAUGAACUAACAUUAUCUACCACCCUUUGACCCUUCAUACCGAACCAAAUUACUAAGUUUGACCUCUCCUUUAGUUCUAAAGGGAUGCCUUGUCCUACCAUUGACAACUUGAUAUAUUCUUUCUAGAAAUGGCAUUCAGCAUCUUGUUCUUAAACUUUCUAGCAGGGUGACCCUUACAAGUUACCCACUUCACUUUUCACAUGUUUUCAAUUGAGGCGUCUGACUCUCCAAUACUGUUCAAUAAUUCCUCCACCAGCCUUCAAAGGAUUCGAUCAGUUAAUUAGCCUGGAAUUACGUCGCGUCACAAUUACAUCCAAAUUUCUUGAAAGUUUAAUCUCUCAUUGUGUGUGACUCGAGUAGUUGGUGCUGGACAUCUCAGAUUUAAGUGGCGUCGUUGAAAUUAAUGCUCCCAGGCUGAGGUGCUUAAAUUCGCAGGUGAAAUAAGUUCCAUCUAUUAGAAGUAUAUUCCUCUUGUGACAGAACUUCCACUUGCGGAUAUGGAAUGUUAUGAGGGCCAACGAAUAUGUGAUAUUGCCAAGUUUUUUGAGUCUGCUCCUGCUCUCGAGCAUCUCAAGUUGAAUCACGGUAUUUUGAUGGAGGGGAACUUCCGAUAAGGCUACCGUUUGAUCUUAACUACAUCAAACGUCUUUGCCCAGCUGAUUUUUAUAUUGAUGAAUUGGAUGUGAUCUCAUGUGUUCUUUGCUUGAUAAGAAGCUUCCCAUUUUUACGAUAUUUGGAAAUCCAGCACUAGAAUGCCUUGAAGUGGAAGCUUUCUCAGAUGUGACAUUUAAUAACCUCCGGGAAGAUCAGCUAACAAGUAUUAUAGGCUCAAAGCCUGAGAUGCAGCUUAUCAAGCUUCUAUUAGCCAAGUCUCCUAUGCUGGUGAGAAUGCUAGUCGAGCCAUAUCUAGAAGUUGAUGACGCUGACAAACUCAAAAUCUCCGAUGUGCUAAACUCGUUUCGGCGCGCAUCCCCUGAAGUAGAAGUUGUUUAUACUUGUUAAGGAGUUGAUAAAAGAUAGUAAAUGCAUUGCUGCAAUUCAAGCAUUAUCUUGGACUGGCGCUUGCAGAAUUCUUGCAGACUUCCAAAAGUGCUUUUGUCCUGAUUGACAGAUUUAUAGUCCUAUUCCUACAUGGUUUAAUCAUCAUAACAUUUGGAGAGAUGCUUAUGUCCCCCAGAUAGCAUAUCAUUAUUAUCAUCCUGAAACAAAGGGUUUGGACUUUGCUACAAUGACCCUAGGAUAAUUUGAGUUGACAGCGGAAUUGUUUAAUUGCUUGUCAAAGACAGAAAACGAAGUGAGUGAAGCUCUAAAUAUGAUUCGAACAGUGAAGUCAAGGAAUUUCAAGGGGACAAGGACUGAAAUGUACUUAAUAAAAGUCAUCCUUGUCCAUUGUGCUAAACUUGCGAAGAUGGUCAUUGACCAGAUCGAGGAAGGCAUAAUACAUAAAUAGGCCCUCAAACUUGACCUCAUUUUUUAUGUAUGCGUCCAACUUCGGGUGUGCACAAGUAGGCAUAUCAAAAUCCAAAAAGAUGGAGUGAGCCUUUCUCCUGGUUGUGCAUAAAGUCUUCAGCUGUUAGGCAGUAUUUUGUAGUUUUCAAGUCUUCAGUAAGUACGUUUUUUCAUGAAAUCAUACUGAAACAUUACUGGUAGAGGAUAGAUCAAAUGUCCAUUGCUCUCUCACAAAAGUAGCAUACUUGUAUCAAGUUGAUCAUAAACAGUUUCAAUAGACUAAGGAAUAAUCAGAAAGGAAUUAGCAAAGAUAUACUACAGAAUCCUUCAAUUACCAUGAAAAGCCAUACAUUUAAGUGAUCAAACAUAAAGGUGACAGGCAGGUUUCACAACCUGAAAAUAUAUAAAACUCCUGAAAAUGUCUAAAUAGCAACUCGAGUGCAUCAUUAGUUCAAGGCAUAUAUUAAUAUUUUUUGGAUAUAGCUACUAGAAUCGUUUCUUCAGAAUCAGCAUAACACAU